GGGGGCUGCUAUACAUGCAAGUCGAGCGGACAGAAGGGAGCUUGCUCCCGGAUGUUAGCGGCGGACGGGUGAGUAACACGUGGGUAACCUGCCUGUAAGACUGGGAUAACUCCGGGAAACCGGAGCUAAUACCGGAUAGUUCCUUGAACCGCAUGGUUCAAGGAUGAAAGACGGUUUCGGCUGUCACUUACAGAUGGACCCGCGGCGCAUUAGCUAGUUGGUGGGGUAAUGGCUCACCAAGGCGACGAUGCGUAGCCGACCUGAGAGGGUGAUCGGCCACACUGGGACUGAGACACGGCCCAGACUCCUACGGGAGGCAGCAGUAGGGAAUCUUCCGCAAUGGACGAAAGUCUGACGGAGCAACGCCGCGUGAGUGAUGAAGGUUUUCGGAUCGUAAAGCUCUGUUGUUAGGGAAGAACAAGUGCGAGAGUAACUGCUCGCACCUUGACGGUACCUAAGGGGAAAGCCCCGCCUAACUACGUGCC
Molecule: ribosomal RNA, 485 nt
Filed under: Bacillus sp. (in: firmicutes)
Lineage: Bacteria; Bacillati; Bacillota; Bacilli; Caryophanales; Bacillaceae
Description: bacterial SSU rRNA
Rfam family: Bacterial small subunit ribosomal RNA
Source: RNAcentral